Molecule: ribosomal RNA, 301 nt
Filed under: uncultured bacterium
Lineage: Bacteria
Description: partial 16S ribosomal RNA
Rfam family: Bacterial small subunit ribosomal RNA
Source: RNAcentral
CAGCCGCCGCGGUAAUACGAAGGGAGCUAGCGUUGUUCGGAAUUACUGGGCGUAAAGGGAGCGUAGGCGGGUCGUUUAGUCAGAGGUGAAAUCCCGGGGCUCAACCUCGGAACUGCCUUUGAUACUGGCGACCUUGAGUAUGGGAGAGGUAAGUGGAACUCCGAGUGUAGAGGUGAAAUUCGUAGAUAUUCGGAAGAACACCAGUGGCGAAGGCGACACACUGGCCCAUUACUGACGCUGAGGCUCGAAAGCGUGGGGAGCAAACAGGAUUAGAUACCCCCGUAGUCCCUGUCUCUUAUAC